CCCUGGUGUGACCUUUGGCUAUUCUUCCUUCAAAGUUAUUAGCCACAGCAGAAGGAUGAAAAUGGACUCCUGCCUGAGGGAGACAGGUGUGUCUCUGCAUGUGGGUAUGUGUGCAGAGAGUUCUGAUGUCUGAGGAGUUCAGAGGUGUCACCUCCCCUGGAGAUGGAGUUACAGAUGCUGAAAGAAGAGGAAGAGAUCGGAAGAAGCAUGUUUACUGGCAUGAUGGCUGAUGGCUGUGUACAUUCAAAACUGACCGAAGACAUCAACUCAUAGAUUAAAACAUCUCAACAAACCUCACGAACAGAUAUAUUAAAAAAAA
Molecule: long non-coding RNA, 319 nt
Organism: Mastomys coucha (southern multimammate mouse)
Lineage: Eukaryota; Metazoa; Chordata; Mammalia; Rodentia; Muridae
Exons: 3
Source: RefSeq, a predicted model, not a curated record